This is a long non-coding RNA of Salvelinus fontinalis (brook trout), 614 nucleotides long. RefSeq lists it as uncharacterized. The transcript is spliced from 3 exons. The record is from RefSeq and is a predicted model, not a curated record. NCBI's taxonomy places the organism in Eukaryota, Metazoa, Chordata, Actinopteri, Salmoniformes, Salmonidae.
UUGUGGGGUACAGGGGAGCGUACCGAGGGGGUGAGUGGAGUCAACCCUGUGUCGUCCCGCUCCCACGCUCUGCUCCAGAUACAGCUCAGAGACUCUGGCCAUCGGGCCACUGGCAGGAUGUCAUUUGUGGAUCUGGCUGGGAGUGAGAGAGCAGCAGACUCCAGAGACCCAGACAGACUGAGUCGCAUGGAGGGGGCAGAGAUCAACCAGAGUCUACUGGCACUGAAAGAAUGUAUCCGUUCUCUUGACCAAGAGCAGUCACACACACCGUUCAGACAGAGCAAACUCACGCAGGUAAAGAAUCCCACACACACAUUGCAAACGUUCACGGGUUCAACUCUCAACAACACAUCUGAGCAACUCCACACCAGGCUUGUGCUUCAACUGUGUUGUCCACAGGGAAUGAUAGAACUUGGGUCAGUACCACUUUGUUCAAACUCUGUUUACCUUGUUGUCUGUAUAGGUUUUGAAGGAUUCCUUUGUUGGUGAUUCAAAGACAUGUAUGAUUGCAAACGUUUCCCCCAGUCACCUAGCAACCAAACACACACUCAAUACGCUGAGAUACGCUGACCGGUGAGUGUUACGUAUUAUGUAGGUCAUAUAAGAGCACACAC